Molecule: long non-coding RNA, 2252 nt
Filed under: Homo sapiens (human)
Lineage: Eukaryota; Metazoa; Chordata; Mammalia; Primates; Hominidae
Description: HSALNT0143154
Source: RNAcentral
CCUGCCUCAGCCUCCUGAGUAGCUGGGAUUACAGGCAUGCGACCCCAAGACUGGCAAAUGUUCAUAUUUUUAGUAGAGAUGGUGUUUCACCAUGUUGGCCAGGCUGGUCUCGAACUCCUGACCUCAUGUGAUCCACCAGCCUUGGCCUCCUAAAGUGCAGGGAUUACAGACUUGAGCCACUGCGCCCGGUCCAGGCCAAGUCUCAACCUCUUUGUGAUUCUACCUGUUCCUUCUGGAGCUCUGCAUGGCUGGCUUCUGGAAGGCCAUCAGCUGUGAUCUCACCUGGACCCAAAACUACAGCUCCCACUCACUGCCCAUCAUAUGAGCCACUGAAAGUCCUGGCGUGGUGUUGGAGGAGCUGUUUCCUGAUUGCAGAGUAUCUAGAAUGGAAGGCCUGUCGUGAUGGGAUUUUGUUGGCAGGUUGUCUUCCAGAUGGCUAUGAAGACAAUUUUGCUUUAUGCUGCCCAAUUCUGGUUGCUUCCUCUCCUAGGAAAUGAGAGCCUUCAUGGUGGACAUGGCCUUAAAGACCAACACUGUUGUUUUAUGGCUAAAAAGAUGGACAUACAGAUCGGUGAAAUGCCUACAAAACUAGAAUGCUACCCAGGCCCAGAGGCAGCUGUCUGAACAUAACCAUGGAGAGGAGAGUUUCCCCUUCCUGGAGCACCCUCUUCCCUUCCCUUCCCAGCACCCUCCUUCCCUGCUUCUCCAUCUGUUGUCACCUUUCCCCUCUGUACUGGAUUGAACAGUGUGCCCCAAAAAUUCAUGUUCACCUGGAACCUCAGCAUUUGACCUUAUCUGGAAAUAGGAUCUCUGCAGAUGUAACUCAGUUAACGUGAGGUCAUACUGGAUUAAGAUGAACCAUAAUCCAGGCUGGGUGCAGUGGCUUAUGCCUGUAAUCCCAGCACUUUGGGAGGCUGAGGCGGGAGGAUCACCUGAGGUUGGGAGUUUGAGACCAGCCUGACCAACAUGGAGAAACCCCGUCUCUACUGAAAAUACAAAAUUAGCCGGGCAUGGUGGUGCAUGCUGGUAGUCCCAGCUACUUGGGAGGCUGAGGCAGGAGAAUCACUUGAACUCGGGAGGCGGAGUUUGCGGUAAGCCAAAAUCGCGCCAUUGUGCUCCAGCCUGGGCAACAAGAGCAAAACUCCAUCUCAAAAAAAAAAAAAAAGAUGAACCAUAAUCCAAUAACUGGCAUCUUUACAAGAAGAGAGAAAUUUAGACACAAACACACAGUGGAAAGUGGUCACAUGAAGACAGAGGCAGAGAUUAGAGUUCUACGCCACAAACCAAGGAAUGCCAUACAUUGACAUCAACCAUUAAAGGCAAAGAAGAGACAAGGAAAAAUUGUUCUCUAGAGCCUUUGGAGAGAGCAUGGCCCUGCCGAAACCUUGAUUCCAGACCCCAACCUCCAGAACAGUGAGAGAAUACAUUUCUGUCGUUUUAAGCCAUUCAGUUAGUGGUGCUUUGUUACAACAGCCACAGGAAACCUGCACCCUCUUGUCUUGUGCUCUCCUCCAUCCCUCCCUUGGUGGAAGAAGAAUAGACUCCUAAGACACACGAAUUUACACAAACACAUUAGGAUCAAGGGCCCACAGCUUCAGUAUUUGCAUUUUAUAGGAUGACUUCCACUAAAGGUAACGAAGUGGAAGCAGGACUGGAAAUUCUCACAAAUGGAGGCCUAGUUACAGCUCUGCAAAUCACCCUUACAAAAAAAUGUAUCAUCACCUCCAUUUGAUAGAUGCAAAAGCCAGGGCUCAAAGAGGCAUGAGCAAAGGGGGCAGGGUUGUGUGGUGGCUAAGAGUGUAGCCUGUGGCCCCAUGGUCAGCCUGUGUCCAGAUCCUGGGUACUCUACUUCAUAACUGGCCAUAUGAACUUAGGCAAGUCAAUUUAACUUCUCUGGGCCUUGGUUGCCUCAUCUGUAGAAUGAGGAUAAUAAUAAUAAAAUCUAUCUCUAAGAUAGAUGGGAGGUAAAACCUAUCUCUAAGAUAGAUGGGUACCAUGGGUACCAUGCUCACUACCUGAAUGAAAGGAUUAAUGGUACCCCCAAACCUCAGUAUCACACAAUAUACCAUUAUAACAAACCUGCACCUAUACCCCCAAAUCUAAAAUAAAAACUGAAAAGAAGUUUUAAAAAAGUAAAAACAGAAAAAAAUGGAGCUAUGUGUAUUACUGGAAGGUUCUGGUAAUUUACCUAUUGUGGCUCAGCUACACAUCUCUUUGCUCUUUCAACCCUGCAAUACUUCUGUAACCACCCC